GUCGGUCAUACAGGGACUCUGAGGAGAACAAGACAUCACAAAAAGCAAUCAAAGACACUCAUGAGUUCAAAACACCUUUAAAGAAGGAAGAGAACGAGCUGCGGAAACGGAUGCCUACUGGGAGAAAUAAAAACAACGACCACCCAAAACCACCAUCUCUGAAAGGAA
Long non-coding RNA from Sebastes umbrosus (honeycomb rockfish), 168 nucleotides. RefSeq lists it as uncharacterized. NCBI's taxonomy places the organism in Eukaryota, Metazoa, Chordata, Actinopteri, Perciformes, Sebastidae. The record is from RefSeq and is a predicted model, not a curated record. The transcript has 2 exons.